CCUACGGGUGGCAGCAGUGAGGAAUAUUGGUCAAUGGACGAGAGUCUGAACCAGCCAAGUAGCGUGAAGGAUGACUUCCCUAUGGGUUGUAAACUUCUUUUAUAUGGGAAUAAAAUGUUCCACGUGUGGGAUUUUGUCUGUACCAUAUGAAUAAGGAUCGGCUAACUCCGUGCCAGCAGCCGCGGUAAUACGGAGGAUCCGAGCGUUAUCCGGAUUUAUUGGGUUUAAAGGGAGCGUAGGUGGAGUGUUAAGUCAGUUGUGAAAGUUUGCGGCUCAACCGUAAAAUUGCAGUUGAAACUGGCAGUCUUGAGUACAGUAGAGGUGGGCGGAAGGCGUGGUGUAGCGGUGAAAUGCUUAGAUAUCACGAAGAACUCCGAUUGCGAAGGCAGUUCACUGGACUGCAACUGACACUGAGGCUCGAAAGUGUGGGUAUCAAACAGGAUUAGAUACCCCUGUAGUC
RNAcentral lists this ribosomal RNA (460 nucleotides) under uncultured bacterium. RNAcentral describes it as "partial 16S ribosomal RNA". It matches the Rfam family "Bacterial small subunit ribosomal RNA", at positions 338 to 795 of the family's 1533-position model. The record is from RNAcentral.